GACGAACGCUGGCGGCGUGCUUAACACAUGCAAGUCGAACGGAAAGGCCCUGCUUUUGUGGGGUGCUCGAGUGGCGAACGGGUGAGUAACACGUGAGUAACCUGCCCUUGACUUUGGGAUAACUUCAGGAAACUGGGGCUGAUACCGGAUAGGAGCUCCUGCUGCAUGGUGGGGGUUGGAAAGUUUCGGCGGUUGGGGAUGGACUCGCGGCUUAUCAGCUUGUUGGUGGGGUAGUGGCUUACCAAGGCUUUGACGGGUAGCCGGCCUGAGAGGGUGACCGGCCACAUUGGGACUGAGAUACGGCCCAGACUCCUACGGGGGGCAGCAGUGGGGAAUAUUGCACAAUGGGCGGAAGCCUGAUGCAGCAACGCCGCGUGCGGGAUGACGGCCUUCGGGUUGUAAACCGCUUUCGCCUGUGACGAAGCGUGAGUGACGGUAAUGGGUAAAGAAGCACCGGCUAACUACGUG
RNAcentral lists this ribosomal RNA (468 nucleotides) under uncultured bacterium. Its description in RNAcentral is "partial 16S ribosomal RNA". It matches the Rfam family "Bacterial small subunit ribosomal RNA", at positions 28 to 507 of the family's 1533-position model. The record is from RNAcentral.